RNAcentral lists this ribosomal RNA (372 nucleotides) under Clostridioides difficile. RNAcentral's name for it is "bacterial SSU rRNA". It matches the Rfam family "Bacterial small subunit ribosomal RNA", at positions 1 to 380 of the family's 1533-position model. Lineage: Bacteria; Bacillati; Bacillota; Clostridia; Peptostreptococcales; Peptostreptococcaceae. The record is from RNAcentral.
UUUUAUUUGAGAGUUUGAUCCUGGCUCAGGAUGAACGCUGGCGGCGUGCCUAACACAUGCAAGUUGAGCGAUUUACUUCGGUAAAGAGCGGCGGACGGGUGAGUAACGCGUGGGUAACCUACCCUGUACACACGGAUAACAUACCGAAAGGUAUGCUAAUACGGGAUAAUAUAUUUGAGAGGCAUCUCUUGAAUAUCAAAGGUGAGCCAGUACAGGAUGGACCCGCGUCUGAUUAGCUAGUUGGUAAGGUAACGGCUUACCAAGGCGACGAUCAGUAGCCGACCUGAGAGGGUGAUCGGCCACAUUGGAACUGAGACACGGUCCAAACUCCUACGGGAGGCAGCAGUGGGGAAUAUUGCACAAUGGGCGAAA